RNAcentral lists this long non-coding RNA (1255 nucleotides) under Betta splendens (Siamese fighting fish). RNAcentral's name for it is "lncRNA (ENSBSLG00000008181.1)". Lineage: Eukaryota; Metazoa; Chordata; Actinopteri; Anabantiformes; Osphronemidae. The record is from RNAcentral.
GAAAGAGCAGGCUUCACUUAGACAAAGUUGCGCUGUGAGCGCCCCUCCAGCGUUUGGUUUCAUCCAGCAUUUACUGGGUUAACCUUGAAGCCGAAGCGCGGGGGAGGGGUGGUUCUCCGGAACUUGGACAUCAUUGGCUACGGGUAACCCUGGUAACGCCAUACUUGGGCCUUUUCCGCCUUGCUGGGGCAGAAACGGCGCUAAGGCUUAUGGCCUCCAUCUUAGAACCUCCACUUUACUUUCGGUUUUGCGUGUAGCGAGUUGUGCCUCAUAGAAGAGGAGAAAAAUAUUCUUCGCUCAGAAGUUGGAGCAGAACCCUUUUCGGACCAUUGUGGACGUACCGCGUGCUUUGGACCGAAACGUUUUUUUGGAUUACAUUCGCUGGAUUAUAACAAACAGAAUGAGACCGCACUCGACGUGACUGAGCGACGUUUGGGGCUCAGCAGUCGUCAAAAAUUUGCCUUCGUGCUCCUGCUCCUCCUCAUGAAGAAGGAGGUCACCAUCUGCGAGGCGGUGCAGCCAAGUCACACUCUGAAUCUAUUAAUCAGAGCUGCGUUGGAACAGACAACUGCGAGACGCCAUAAUCUAAAUAUUGGCUGCGACGCAUCAGGGGAGAGGCUGGUGGUUGGUAGAGAACGGACGUGCAGCGGCCGCUUUAUUAGGAACCCAAGGAAUGACUGAGGCCCAUGAGAGGACGGCGCUGAUACGAGGUGCUUUUGUUUUGGCCACUGAGAAACUCAGCGAAUCCUGAGGAGCUGAAACACAAAGUAGGUUCAUCAUUUAGACCAGGAUGAAGACGAACAGCAGGUUGUUAAGAGCCUCGCGUCACUGUCAUCAGUCCGCUCAGGGUCUCAUCCUGGCACUCCUGGACUUCAUUACCCAGCAUUCAUAGCUGCCCAGUCCAGUAUGGUAAGUUCACGUGAUGCAGGACGUGAUGAGACUCCGCUGGCUUCUAAUCACUCUAUUAAUGAUACUUUCCAAGUGUUUUGAUUUUUAAGUAACAAGAGAUGUGAUUUGGUGGCAUCUUUAAACUAAUUACCACUGAAUUACUGCUGCUUAUUUUGGCAUUAGUCACUGCUUCCCCGUCUUUAGCCUGUGGUUUCAAAGACGUGCCACUAAAUGCCUUUGAUUCUCUCCCCCCGCAGGCUUCAAACGAUGCUGCUACUGCCAGGAUGUAGAUGUGCAGCGUAUAUGACAGCUGAUGUCGGCGCUCGUUACCAUUACAGACUCCUAAUAAAUGCUUACUGAGCUGUCA